UAGUCAAUGCUCGAAAGAGUGAACUAGCUAACUGAAAUCAAUUAAAAAAUUGAUAACAUAAGGGAAAAUAAUGAUAUUACCUUAUUAUUAGUGUCGUCCAAAACUGGUGCCAGAAGACUCGGUAAGGCCAGAGACACAAACGUUAAUCGUCUUAAUCAGGCGUAAAGGGUUUGUAGGCGGCUUUUAAUUAAUUUUAUAAAUUUUAAAUAAAAAUAAAUAAAUUAAGAAUAAAAGCUAGAAUCAAAUAGAGGAUAUAUGAAAUAAUGCUUAGAGUAGGUCUGAUAUCCUUAAAUACUAAGUAGAAUAUUAAAGGCGAAAGCUUUUUUCCAUUAAUGAUUGACGCUCAGAAACGAAGGUGAGGAUAGGAAAUAGGAUUAGAUACCCAAAAUACCCCUCUCUGUCAACGAUGAAUGGUAGUUAUUAGUAAUAAAUUUAUUAAUGAGAAUGUUAACACGAUAACCAUUCCGCCUUGUGAGUACAACUGCAAAGUUGAAAACAAAAAAAUUAGUCGGUUUCGGAGCAAACGAAGUGAAGCAUGUUAUUUAA
Molecule: ribosomal RNA, 546 nt
Filed under: Russula sp.
Lineage: Eukaryota; Fungi; Basidiomycota; Agaricomycetes; Russulales; Russulaceae
Description: partial small subunit ribosomal RNA
Rfam family: Bacterial small subunit ribosomal RNA
Source: RNAcentral